Molecule: ribosomal RNA, 253 nt
Filed under: uncultured bacterium
Lineage: Bacteria
Description: partial 16S ribosomal RNA
Rfam family: Bacterial small subunit ribosomal RNA
Source: RNAcentral
UACAGAGGUCCCAAGCGUUGUUCGGAUUCACUGGGCGUAAAGGGUGCGUAGGCGGUCGGGUAAGUCUGGCGUGAAAUCUCCAAGCCUAACUUGGAAACUGCGUUGGAUACUAUCCGGCUCGAGGAAUGGAGGGGAGACUGGAAUACUUGGUGUAGCAGUGAAAUGCGUAGAUAUCAAGUGGAACACCAGUGGCGAAGGCGAGUCUCUGGACACUUCCUGACGCUGAGGCACGAAAGCCAGGGGAGCAAACGGG